Molecule: transfer RNA, 75 nt
Filed under: Candidatus Falkowbacteria bacterium CG10_big_fil_rev_8_21_14_0_10_44_15
Lineage: Bacteria; Candidatus Falkowiibacteriota
Description: tRNA-Thr
Rfam family: tRNA
About the family: Transfer RNA (tRNA) molecules are approximately 80 nucleotides in length. Their secondary structure includes four short double-helical elements and three loops (D, anti-codon, and T loops).
Source: RNAcentral
GCCGAAGUAGCUCAGUGGUAGAGCAACUGUUUUGUAAACAGUAGGCCGUGGGUUCGAAUCCCACCUUCGGCUCCA